UCAAUUGGUAGAGCACCGGUCUCCAAAACCGGGUGUUGGGAGUUCGAGCCUCUCCGCCCCUGCCA
RNAcentral lists this transfer RNA (65 nucleotides) under Caudoviricetes sp. RNAcentral's name for it is "tRNA-Trp". It matches the Rfam family "tRNA", at positions 12 to 71 of the family's 71-position model. Rfam says of the family: Transfer RNA (tRNA) molecules are approximately 80 nucleotides in length. Their secondary structure includes four short double-helical elements and three loops (D, anti-codon, and T loops). The record is from RNAcentral. Lineage: Duplodnaviria; Heunggongvirae; Uroviricota; Caudoviricetes.